This 2013-nucleotide ribosomal RNA is filed under the name Candidatus Omnitrophota bacterium. Its description in RNAcentral is "partial 23S ribosomal RNA". It matches the Rfam family "Bacterial large subunit ribosomal RNA", at positions 1 to 1968 of the family's 2925-position model. Lineage: Bacteria; Pseudomonadati; Candidatus Omnitrophota. The record is from RNAcentral.
AUUCAAGCUACUAAGAGUUCAUGAUGGAUGACUUGGUAGACUCAGGCGAUGAAGGACGUGGUAAGCAGCGAUAUGCUUCGGGGAGUCGCAAACAGGCUUUGAUCCGAAGAUUUCCGAAUGGGAAAACCCAUCCGCCCCUUAAAGGCGGAUAUCCCCUACUGAAUACAUAGGUAUGGGAGGCGAACGAGGCGAACUGAAACAUCUAAGUAGCCUCAGGAAAAGAAACCGUAAGGGAUUCCCCCAGUAGCGGCGAGCGAAAAGGGAACAGGCUAAACCACAGCGUAUACGUUGUGGGGUUGCGGGACCAUAACGUGGGAUUGUUGGAAGAUAGCAAAAAUGUUUGGAAAAACAUACCAUAGAAGGUGAAAGUCCUGUAUGCGAAAUUCGAAAACACCCUAUUGGUAUCCCAAGUACUGUGGAACACGUGGAACUCUGCAGGAAUCCAGCCCGACCAUGGGCUAAGCCUAAAUACUCGAGUCUAACCGAUAGUGAAUCAGUACCGUGAGGGAAGGUUGAAAAGAACCCCGGUGAGGGGAGUGAAAUAGAAUCUGAAAUCAUGAACUUACAAGCGGUCGUAGACCUAUGCGGGCGAUUCAGCUUGCUGAAUCGCUUGAAUGGUUAACGGCGUACCUUUGGUAUAAUGGACCAACAAGUUAUUGUACGUUGCAAGCUUAAGACCUUCUGGGUCGUAGGCGUAGCGAAAGCGAGUCUGAAUAGGGCGCACAAGUAACGUGCAAUAGACGCGAAACCAGGUGAUCUAUCCAUGGCCAGGUUGAAGCCUACCGAAAGGUAGGUGGAGGACCGAACCCGGGUCAGUUGAAAAUGGCUGGGAUGAGUUGUGGAUCGGAGUGAAAGGCUAAUCAAACCUGGCAAUAGCUCGUUCUCCUCGAAAUAGUUCUAGGACUAGCCUCGGAUAAAUUGAAUAGUAGGGGUAGAGUUACUGAAUAGGCUAGGGGGCCUACCCGCCUACCAAACCUAACCAAACUCCGAAUACUACUAUUUUUACUCCGGGAGUCAGACCCUGUGGGCUAAGCUACAGGUUCAAAAGGGAAACAGCCCAGACCGUCGGUUAAGGUCCCAAAUAUAAGCUAAGUGGUAAAGGAUGUGAAAUCACAUAAACAGCCAGGAUGUUGGCCCAGAGGCAGCCAUCAUUUAAAGAGUGCGUAAUAGCUCACUGGUCGAGUGAUUUUGCGCCGAAAAUGAUCGGGGCUCAAGCUUAUAACCGAAACCACGGGUUAGGCGACACUUCGGUGUCGCUUAGCGGUAGAGGAGCGUACUGUUAUGCGUUGAAGGCGUACCGUAAGGAGCGCUGGAGUUGACAGUAGUGAUCAUGUUGGUAUAAGUAGCGAAAACUACGGCGAGAAACCGUAGCGCCGAAAAUCCAAGGUUUCCUGGGGAAGGUUAAUCCGCCCAGGGUUAGUCGAUCCUAAGGCGAGGCCGAAAGGCGUAGUCGAUGGAUAUCAGGUCAAUAUUCCUGAACCGGCUAUAAACGUUAUCAGCUAAUGAGGACGCAGGAGGCUAGGUGUUCGAAGUGUUGGAUGUCUUCGUCUAAGCCCGUAGCUCCGUAGAAAUACGGGGUAAGAGGUUAUGGGGACCCGCGACUACGGUCAAGGGGAAGUCAUUGAUGCCACGCUGCCAAGAAAAGCCCAUUAGUGAGUAUUAUAGUCGCUCGUACCGUAAUCCGACACAGGUAGAUACCCAGAACAUGGGAAGGCGCUCGAGAUAACUCUCCUUAAGGAACUCGGCAAUUUAGCCCCGUAACUUCGGGAGAUGGGGUGCCCUAAAAGUGAAGUCCAUACGGGUGGAGCUUGAGGGGUCACAGUAAAGAGGCCCGGCCGACUGUUUAGUAAAAACACAGCACUCUGCGAAGUCGCAAGACAAUGUAUAGGGUGUGACACCUGCCCGGUGCUGGAAGGUUAAGGGAAGAGGUUAUCCCCUUGAGGGAGAAGCUUCGAACUGAAGCCCCAGUAAACGGCGGCCGUAACUAUAACGGUCCUAAGGUAGCGAAAUUCC